RNAcentral lists this unclassified non-coding RNA (1539 nucleotides) under Fusarium oxysporum. RNAcentral's name for it is "partial miscellaneous RNA". Lineage: Eukaryota; Fungi; Ascomycota; Sordariomycetes; Hypocreales; Nectriaceae. The record is from RNAcentral.
CGGCCCGGCCGGGGCCCAUCGCGAGCUGCCGGGUAGGUAAAAGUAAAAAAGUUGUUAAGAGGCGCGGUGUCGGCGUGCUUGUAUUUGCGGGAGAGAAUUAUCUGGAGGUGCUGGGUAGCCGGGAAGACUUGGACGGAUCUGGCCCGGGAAUGGGUCUGGGCCUGGAUUCUGGUGUGGUGUAGGGUAGGCGUAGAUAGAUGAGUGGUCUAGGGUAGAUACAGGGUAGCCAGAAGUCUAGUAUAUAGUAUGGGGGUUGUAGGGUAGGUCUGGACACCGUUUUCCACUUCGCCCUUCCCUUUACUCGAGGGAGGACGAUCUUGGCUGGGACGGCGGUGUAGGGUAGGCUUAAUUAACGAUUACAUGAUCUGUGUCGCUCUAGGGUAGGUGAAAAUCCCAUAUAUAUCUGAUCACAUUUGGUGAAGAGGUGGUUUGGCUGGUGAGAUGGACAAAAGUGCAAUGUAGAAUGAUAUGUGAUUUUGCAAAAGUGGGUGUGAAAUUGGAAAGUCGGUUUUCCCGCACAGAUGAGAGCACGUUUGAGGUGCCAUGAGAUGCACCUCUCUGAGACGACCUCAACGGUGCCACCCAUGUGUUGGUCGGGCUCCUGUGCCGCCGUCCAGGGCGGGAUAAGUAGAGAAUGAGGUGGUGUAGGGUAGGUGGCCAGGUCCAGGGUAGGUUCGCCAAAUCCGUCAAUCCGGCUUGAAUGGAAGGACAGGUCUAGGGUAGGCCAGAGUCGGGUCUAGGGUAGGCAACUCUCACCCUCGAAGUGGUCUACCCGGUAGCCAACUUCAAUCGCCUCUCACGGCCGCCACGGAUCUCGUAUGACGACGGGACUACCACCAUCGGAUUCGCCUUGGUCGAAAUAGCUGGUAUAUGCACUUUUGAAAAAAUGCGUGCAAAAUGGUUUUGUGGUUUGGUGGUCGUGAGUCGAUUUUUUUGUUUUCCCAUACAAAUGAAUUUUGCGGAAAAUAAAAAGUGGCCCACGAGGCAGUCCUGGCGUGCGGCCCACUAAAACGGUCUCGGAGGGUAUAUGAGAAGGGAGCAAAUCCGGCCGAGCCUGAAAGGGUGAGGACAAACCGGGCGAGCAACCUCUCAGUAUCAGAUCUUGCAGACUUCCACUGCGUGUCCCUCUGUACAGCUUUGCAGGCUCCGGCCUCGGCAGCGGGGGGUUCAUAGUGGUCGUCGACCUCCACGAAACUGCACGCUCCGGCGUGACAGCGUACUGGGGAUGCCUGUGUAGAUGCAGUCCGGGCUUGCCUGGACCGCUAGCAGAUGGGCUCUGUGGAUGACUGGCCGCUGGCUAGACCUGAAACCUGAGCAACGGGAGGUAACCUCUCGCCGCGGACACCGGAAUGGUAGAAGCGGCGUGCUGCGUCCUCCUCUUGGGGCCCCUAAGCCACACCUCCCAUAGCGGGUUCGGUGCGGCGGACGGACGCCCUGGGGAAUUUAGAGGGGGAAAGCGGAUUGCCCUAGCGGUGUUGUUGGCCCUGCCGACCUCACUGCGAAAGGCGCGACUUCACCGUCGCCACCCAGUAACUUGUC